CCAAGUGCGCCCCACUUUGGGGGUUCUUGGGAGCGUGAAAUCCGUUCCAUCAAGUCAGCAUUGCACACCAUCCUGGGAUCCCAAACAGUCACCGAAGAGGUCCUCAGAACCAUCCUGACUGAAGUGGAGAGCAUCAUCAACUCCAAGCCCCUCGGUUACACCUCUUCAGAUGUGGCAGACUUGGACCCGAUCACUCCCAACAUGCUGCUGAUGGGGCGGCUGGACCCGUCCACUCCGCAAGUCGUCUACUCUGAUAAAGAGCUCCUCAGCCGACGCAGAUGGCGACAUUGUCAGGUCUUAGCAGACCAGUUUUGGAGCCAUUUCAUCAGGAACUAUUUGCCUUCGCUCCAGAGUCGCUCCAAGUGGCAGCAGGAUCAAGAGGACAUCGGUGUUGGUGACAUUGUUCUUGUUGUUGACCACCAGCUUCCCCGCGCCUUGUGGCUUGUUGGUAAAAUCACUGCUAUCUUUCCUGGAGCUGAUGGAAGGAUUCCUACUGCUCAAUUACAGGCCAGAGACAAAUCCUACACCAGACCUGUUGCAAAGCUCAUCAAACUCCCUGCACUUCCUCAAGACAUUCCAAAUUGACUUGUGUUCAACUUUGCUCCUCAAAGUUGGGGGCGGCUGUUAACAAGGUUAUUUUAUUAUAUAUUGGUAAUGUUUCUUUAAGUUAAUGGAUAUUCCGUCUUCUAGCACUUUCUAAGUUUCUAUUUCUUAUAUUAUCAUAAUCUACCUAGCAACCAAUAGUAUUUUUUCCUCGGUGUUCCCCUCCCUGCUCUCCACCAAUCAGGAGACAGAUAUCAGUAGUGCUGUUUUUUUGUUAGUCUGCAGGUGACUUCGGCGAGAGCACACGCUCUGUCCUCUCCCCAUCUUCUCGGCAUACUUUUCUUCCCCCUUUCGUGUUGUGCGUCCAUGAGAAUGUUUGGUUAACAUCAUUCAAAUGGACACCAAUGUUUAGCCGCAGCUGCAUGCAGGAGUCACAAAGAGGAGGCAGAUAAACAUCUAUCAGCUCUGUCUCCUCCGACAGUCAUCCAAACAAUAGCAAAACAAAACAGCCGUCACUGAUGGAAGAAAGCUCAUUCACUUAACCCUGUUCACCCUGGAGCUCCUUGCAACAACACCAGACUGAUUCUGUCAGAAGAACACAACUGGUAUCAGCCUGCAGAGUGCAACAUAUUGACUGAGGAGGCUGCCUGGUACAACUGUGAAUCAACUGGAUGUAGGACUGUUUCAUUUCUGUUGCAUCACAUUUGGUAGAGCUGCAAAUAAACAUUCAAAGAGUCGGAUCGAUAAUAUCAGUGUCACUGACUCGUUGUUGUAAGGCCCUGGUCUAUAUCUCCAAAAUGUCUCAGAAACACAAGACAGCUACAAAGAGAUCAACUGAGACACAAAAUUAUCGCAGAAAGAUGACUGACAAAUACAAGAAACACAAAAUGUCCACAGACAUUGUCCGUGCCCAAGGGUUCGUUGUUUUUAUGAUGAAUCCAUGAGGUUGUGUGCUUUGUAAUUUGCAGCUUUGAUUAGGUGAAUGUAAAACUGUCUGAACUGAUGGUGGUGGGGUCAAAAAGAUUUUUUUUAGAUGGAAACUUUAAUAUACACUACUGUUUCUCACUUAGAAAUGCAUUAUUUUUGAAAGAAAAGCAUUUUUUUAAUGAAGAUGACAUUAAAUGAAUCAGAAAUACAGUCUAGACAUUGUUAAUGUGGUAAAUAACUAUUCUGGCUGGAAACGGCUGAUUUUUAAUGGAAUAUCUCCAUAGAGGUACAGAGGAACAUUUCCAGCAACCAUCACUCCUGUGUUCUAAUGCUACAUUGUGUAAGAUAAUCGUGUUAAAAGGCAAACUGAUGAUUCAAAAACCCUUGUGCAAUUAUGUCAGCGUAUGAAUAAAAGUGUGAGUUUUCAUGGAAAAUAUGAAAUUGUCUGGGUGACCCAAAACUUUUGAAUGGUAGUGUACUUUUGUUCAGAAGGAUCAACAGAACCUUUAUUGAUGUUAUCAUUUUCCCAAUUACAUUAAGAUGCACCAUAACCUCUGACUGGAUUCUACACACAUCUUUGAGCUGCAUCAGAAUCAGCAUCCCAUCUGUGGUUAGGCAACAAAAAGAUUGUAGUUUGAAUUAAAUAAUAAAUAGCAUAUAUGUAGAUAGCCCUGCGACAGACUGGCGACCUGUCCAGGGUGUCCCCUGCCUUCGCCCAAGUCAGCUGGGAUAGACUCCAGCCCCCCCACCCCCCCACCCCCGCAACCCAAAUGAGGUGUAUAGAUAAUGGAUAGAUGGAUGGAUGGAUGGAUACGUGUAGAUUUAGGAGGGGCACAGAGAAUUAAACCCCCUCAAUAAUUACAACAUGUACAUUAGUUGUGAAAAAAUGCCAUGAUGGUACCAAUAAUGGAAAAGUCUGGUUCUUUUCCUUCAUUGCUGGCUCUUUCUUUACUCUUUAAUUAUGAGCUCAAACAUCCACAACACUACCGCAACGUAUUGUAUGUACUGUGUUUUCCUUUAGGUUAAUGAAUUCUUUUCAAACACAAACUGAUGCAGAAAAGGAACAAUCUGGCACAUAAACACUCAGCAGAAUCCAGGUAACUGUUUUGUGCUCAAAGCUUUUGGACCACCUCAAGGCAGUUCCUCUAAGAAGUGUGGCGAUCACAAAGGCACCAGACUACAGCUGAGACAGGUGGAGGGUGGCCACUUUCAGAGUGUUAGAGGAGUACAGCCUGCAAGACUGUCAAACAAACUCUCAGAGGAUUGUAAAUUUGGUAGAAUAAAUCCCUUGGCAGCACCUUUUGGAACUGAAACAUGUCCAAGUGUAAUUAGUACCUCGACGAGUUGGGUCUUUGGUGGUGUUAUAGAGAGACCCAGCUGGUGGAGCUGAUGGACAAUUUUAGAGGCUAAAGCUGCAGGUAACAAGGGAACGUUGGGAAAAAUGAUAAGGAUUCAACUGCUAGCUUGUGUUCUGAAGGAUCUGUAGAGCAUUCUGUGUGGAGUACACCAUGAUAAAAAAAAAGUACAUUUACUCAGGUACUGCAUUUAAGUACAGUUUCGAGGCACAGCCAGCACUUUGAGACUGUUUUGUUCAGUUUCAGAGGUCAGUGUUGAAGUGUUUAUUGCACUGAAUUUGUUUAUUUAUAGCUUCUAUACUUUCAUGUUAAGAUAUUUAACAAUAAGAUUUUAUGAGAUAAUAGAACAUAUGUUUGAUAAUAUUAAGGAUGAAAUCAAUGGUAUCAGGCCAUUUCUAGUCAAAUUUCCUUCAGCCCUCACCUACACCAAUCAGGCAUAACACUAUGACCACCUUCCUAAUAUUGUGUUGGUCCCUUUAUGCUGCUAAAACUCCUGUGACCCGGUGGGGCAUGAACACAGGACCUCUGGGGAUGUCCUGUGGCACUGGGAGGGUGGCAGUGAAUUAUGUGGGUCCUGCAAGAUAAUUUCUCUAUAAAAUUACAGAUGUUAAAUGGUGAAAAAUGUCAUUCAAAAGAAUUUAAAUUCAACUUUGUCUUUUUUUAAUGAUUUAUGACAUUGUAACUGUGUCAUACUGCACAGAAAAUAUUUCAGAGUUCUCUCUACUUGUAGCUAUUGUUGUGUUGUUUCCACAGAGUUGCAUUUUUCUAACAAUUCAUCGAUUAGUCGUUGCAGCGGUAACUGUGAUUAAACUAGAACUUAAUCUUCCAGUGUGCAACAGGUCUCCAAAACUCUAUGUCUAAAUAAAAAGGAGCUAGUGCUUUGUUUAUUCUUUGUUUCUGGAUAUGGCUGUUCCAAAAUCAGUCAUUAUGGUUUCCAGCUGUAAACCUCUAUGUCUUGUGUAUGCUCUACUGUUAGACAGCAGCAUCAAUCAGCACUGUCAGAAAUCCAGCAAUUUACUUUCCAGUUAGAUUUCAUACAAUAGAGCGGAAAGGCGACAUACUAUCUUACAUGACUUUCAACCUCAUCCUGAUUACAGGCCUCACUCCAAAACAAAAUUACUUGCAGCUUCUAUUGUCGGAGCCAGCUCUUUUGAACUGUUUGAAUUCAGACCUAAAAACUCUACAUGAGCUGGUUUACUUUAGCAAAGUUUAGUUUAGGGUUCAGCCUAAUUCCUGGCUUUGUGCAUAGGAGUGUCAGCAGGAUGUGUUUAUACAGAGCAGAGAGAAGACAACAAGAGAGAAUUAGAGGAAAAUAUACCUACUGGAUCAAUAAAAGAAACACAGCAUGGCUCAGAAACAGUAUACAGAGGAACAAGUUGUCAACCAUCCACCCAUCCAUCCAUUAUCUAUACACUGCUUAAUCCUCAUUAGGGUGGCAAGGGGCUGGAGCCUAUCCCAGCUGAAUUAGUUUGAAGGUCACCAGUCUAUCACAGAGACAAACAAUCACACUCACAUUCACACCUGCAGAUAAUUUAGAGUUACCAAUUAACCUUAGCAUGUUUUUGGACUGUGGGAGGAAGCUGGAGAACCUGGAGAAAACCCACAAAUGUACAGGGAGAAUAUGCAAACUCCCAGAUCAAGGCAAAAGUGCUAACCACCCAGCCACUCUGCAGCCCCAAGUUGUCGACCAGUUGUUGGAAAAAUACAUUCCACGUAGUGAAACAUCUCUCUAGAGCUGAUGUGCAAAGUAGUGUGAAAAGCUUGUAGAGGCUUUAAAAUGUAAAUAGUUAAACAUCUAUAGUAUGUAGAGCCUCCAUAUUUGUAGCGUUGGUAACACCUGUGGGCAAAAUGUUGGACAUGUGGAUUCCUGGAAUUUCAUUUGUUGUAAAAUAAAUAAUCAAAGAACUUCAA
This is a long non-coding RNA of Amphiprion ocellaris (clown anemonefish), 4736 nucleotides long. RefSeq lists it as uncharacterized. Lineage: Eukaryota; Metazoa; Chordata; Actinopteri; Pomacentridae. The record is from RefSeq and is a predicted model, not a curated record. The transcript has 2 exons.